RNAcentral lists this ribosomal RNA (254 nucleotides) under uncultured bacterium. RNAcentral's name for it is "partial 16S ribosomal RNA". It matches the Rfam family "Bacterial small subunit ribosomal RNA", at positions 524 to 776 of the family's 1533-position model. The record is from RNAcentral.
GACAGAGGGUGCAAACGUUUGUUCGGAAUUACUGGGCGUAAAGCGCGUGUAGGCGGUUGGGCAAGUCGGAUGUGAAAGCCCAGGGCUCAACCCUGGAAGUGCAUUCGAUACUGCCUAGCUAGAGUCCCGGAGAGGAUGGUGGAACUCUCGGUGUAGAGGUGAAAUUCGUAGAUAUCGAGAAGAACACCGGUGGCGAAGGCGGCCAUCUGGACGGUGACUGACGCUGAGACGCGAAAGCGUGGGGAGCAAACAGG